This 273-nucleotide ribosomal RNA is filed under the name uncultured Methylophilaceae bacterium. RNAcentral describes it as "partial 16S ribosomal RNA". It matches the Rfam family "Bacterial small subunit ribosomal RNA", at positions 524 to 796 of the family's 1533-position model. Lineage: Bacteria; Pseudomonadati; Pseudomonadota; Betaproteobacteria; Nitrosomonadales; Methylophilaceae. The record is from RNAcentral.
UACGGAGGGAGCUAGCGUUGUUCGGAAUUACUGGGCGUAAAGCGUGCGCAGGCGGUUUUGAAAGUCAGAUGUGAAAUCCCCGAGCUCAACUUGGGAACUGCGUUUGAAACUCCAAAGCUAGAGUAUAGGAGAGGGGGGUAGAAUUCCACGUGUAGCAGUGAAGUGCGUAGAGAUGUGGAGGAAUACCAAUGGCGAAGGCAGCCCCCUGGCCUAAUACUGACGCUCAUGCACGAAAGCGUGGGGAGCAAACAGGAUUAGAAACCCCAGUAGUCC